AUGAAUCAAGUUGGCCAGCGGCCACCACCGCCGGUGCCGGAGCCACGCCCACCGCCGCCGACAGGGAGCUGGAUCAGGAUCUUGCGCUCGGUGGCCUCUUCAUUGGGCUUAUCUCUCCGCUCUCUCAUGGUGCUACUUUGGCGCGCAUGCCGCUUACCGGCGGGCCAAGACGAGGAGGAGCGCAAUGAUGCCAAGAACAAGAACGAGACAGGCGGCCAAGAUGAUGAGGAUCGCCUGAAGAAGACGGAGAUUGCCGCCAGGAAACGAGCAAGGCAGAAGGCCAAGAAAGCGGCCAGAAAGGAGGCCAAGGCGAAGGCCAAGAAGACCAAGAAGGAGGCCAAGGCGGAGGACAAGAAGAAGAGGCAGGAGGAGGAGGCCAUGAAGAGGAAAGAAGAGGAGGAGGCGGCCAAGGAGGAGGCCAGGAUCAGGGAAGAAGAGCAGAAGGCAGCCAAGGAGAAGGCCAGGCAGAAGCUUGCCGAGGACAAGAAAAAGGCUGACCUGGAGGAGGCCAAGAGACGGCAGCGGGAGGACGCCGAGCGGAGGAAGGAGGAGGCCAGGAUGGAGGAGGAGGACAGGCAAAGGAGGCGGGAGGAGGCCCAGAGGAGGAAGGAGGCGGACAGGAACAAGGAUGAGCAUGAGGAUGAGAAGGAUGUUCACAUUAGUUACUGGUCUCAAAAUCACAACAAGCGCAAGAAGCAGUGCCUAGGCAACAUUCCAGACGAGAUUGAUCGCCAUAACAACAAGUUUCACAAGGGAGUUGAGAUGCGAAGUUGCAGGAAGAAGGGCUGCCUUGUUAGAGCCAAUAAGAGGGACAUCCAGGUCCAUGAGUACUACUGUCAUGGUUUGAGCAAAUGA
This 855-nucleotide ribosomal RNA is filed under the name Triticum aestivum (bread wheat). RNAcentral describes it as "partial small subunit ribosomal RNA". The record is from RNAcentral. Lineage: Eukaryota; Viridiplantae; Streptophyta; Magnoliopsida; Poales; Poaceae.